GACGAACGCUGGCGGCGUGCCUAAUACAUGCAAGUCGAACGCAGUGGGGACGGGUGAGUAACACGUGGGUAACCUCCCAUCAGAGGGGAUAACACUUGGAAACAGGUGCUAAACUGAUACUGAUGGAUGAACCCGCGGUGCAUUAGCCAGUUGGUGAGGGAACGGCUGACCAAGGCUAAGAUGCGUAGCCGACCUGAGAGGGUGAUCGGCCACACUGGGACUGAGACACGGCCCAGACUCCUACGGGAGGAAGCAGUGGGGAAUAUUCGGCAAUGGGCGCAAGUCUGACCGAGCAACGCCGCGUGAGUGAAGAAGGUUUGCGGAUCGUAAAGCUCUGUUGUUAGAGAAGCGGUAUCUAACCAGGAAGCCACGGCUAACUACGUGCCAGCAGCCGCGGUAAUUC
RNAcentral lists this ribosomal RNA (403 nucleotides) under uncultured bacterium. RNAcentral describes it as "partial 16S ribosomal RNA". It matches the Rfam family "Bacterial small subunit ribosomal RNA", at positions 28 to 526 of the family's 1533-position model. The record is from RNAcentral.